UACAACUUCAAGGUUGUUCAUUUCUACAUAUAUUCAUCUCACAUUUUUCAACUCCAAGAAAACACACAACAACAAAACAAGUUCACACGUCUGCAUGGAUCUCUUAGCCUCCACUGAUAUCACUCUCAUUACUCUUCUUUUCCUCCCUACUAAAGUAAACGAGAACAACUUGAUCCAGAUGUACAACGUGCUUUGCUCGAUCGGUCAACUACCGUAGUUUUCUUGGUUAAUGAGGCAUUGGUAUUCGACUCUAUGCCCAAAAAGAGAAGGAAAAGUUUGAAGUGAAUAACCAAGUUAUCUCAGAAUUUGUGAAUGACUUGAAUGUGAAUCACAUGUCUAGAAUUGGAAUUCUGUAUUCUGAGAGUUUGUAGAAGGAAUUCCUAUGAUAUUUCCCCACUUCAUUGCUAACAUACCCUACAUUCACUAUGUUGUUGUCUAAAUUAGUUUCCAUUAAAACAAUAUCAAUUAGUAGUGUUGCAUUGAAUCCGUUCA
Molecule: long non-coding RNA, 492 nt
Organism: Medicago truncatula (barrel medic)
Lineage: Eukaryota; Viridiplantae; Streptophyta; Magnoliopsida; Fabales; Fabaceae
Exons: 3
Source: RefSeq, a predicted model, not a curated record